Long non-coding RNA from Carassius carassius (crucian carp), 558 nucleotides. RefSeq lists it as uncharacterized. The transcript has 4 exons. Lineage: Eukaryota; Metazoa; Chordata; Actinopteri; Cypriniformes; Cyprinidae. The record is from RefSeq and is a predicted model, not a curated record.
UGGUGCAUCAUCAUCAUCUCUGUGUUUCUGCUGUAUAUCACAGGUUCUUUCUCGGUUCCUGUGACAUAAAAAGUUGAUGGUUUUGUUGGAGACUCGGCUAUCUUGUCUUGUUCGAUCCCUAAAAGUGAGAUUCAAGACAAAAUAGAAAAAUUAUACGUAAACUGGAGAGACAAUGAAGGCAAGACAGUGUGUGACAUCAUUGGAGGCAGCAUAGUUGAAGACCAAGAGCCAGAGUACAAGGUCUUAGUCGAAACGUUCCCAGAGGAGUAUAAGAAGGGCAACUUCUCCAUCAAACUCAACGGUCUUCAAAAAACUGAUGCAAGGAAGUACAUCUGUCACAUCACAGGACCAUCUCAGAAUCACACCAUCACAGAGCUUCAUGUUGAAGAGGGACCAGGAGGAAGAGGCAAGCACAGAGGACUAAAGACUGAUGGAGAACUACAAUCAAUUGUCUUGUUUUUAUUCAGAUUUUUCUUAGCUGGCAUACUGGUUUUUAUGUCUGUAGCAAUCGCUUUUUGUGCAGCAAGGAUUGUGUUCAGUUAAUAGGGUAGAAUGAAA